UGGUAGGAUAAGGAAUAUAAUAUAGAGAGGGGGAUCCAAUCCGGUUUCAGCUCGUUUCCGUACGUAGGCCUACUGAUGGAACAUUUAUGUUAGUUACAGUGUGUUCUGAAGGUACUGACUGAGUUACAUCGAACACUUUCAGAAGCCUGCACUGAAUUUUCAGUAACUGAGAAGGCUAAUUUGUUAUCUAGACAAUACAAGUAAAGCAGCCAUGCCGAAAAGAAGCAAAGCAAGUAAUGACACUGAAGUCGAGCCAAAAAGGCGAUCCACGAGGUUGUCAUCAAAACCCACUACUCCGGCUAAACCAGAGCCUAAGACAAAGACACCAGUCAAGGCAGCAGCCAAGCCCAAAAAAGUAAAGGAGGUAGUAGAGAAGGUCAAGCCUGAGGAGAAGAAAGAAGCUCCUGAGGAAAAAACAGCACCGGCAGAAAACGGAGAGACCAAAGAUGAGGAGGAGGCAGCAGAAGAGGCAGAUGCUGAUGCAGAUGAGCCUGAGAAAGAGGAGGAUGAGGCAGAAUAAUAAGCUUACACUUUUGCCAGUGCUCCCCGUACCUCCUUUCUUGUACAAUGCAGAGGAAUAUUUUUAUCAACUAUUUUCUUAAGAAAAGGCAGGUUGUGUAGUAGUAAGAUUGUAGAAACACUUAUUCUCCCCCCCCCCCCCCCCUUUUUUUUUUUUUUACACCUCUGGAAGAAAAGUUAUGGUCAUUGUGUGUUUCCCUUUUCUUUUGUAGUCUGGGGCAGUUGUCAGAGGGAGGGGGGCAGGUUUGCAGCAAUGACAUGCAAUCAUGUCAAUAUCAGGAAUUUGUUAUUCAACUGGGAGAGCUUGUCUGACACUAACAUUCCAUAGGCUUUAUGGGGGACAGUUUAUUUAACCUGUAUUGUAUGGGGAAGGGUUGGGGGGGGGGGGGGGGGGUUUAUACACAAUAAUACUUGUUUCAUUUUUGUUUAUAAUGGGUAGGAAUGUGGUGACUGUUUUAAGCUGUGCUCUAUGAAUAUUAACUGUUUUAUGAAUCUACAGUUAUGAUUCAUCAUCAUCCUCCCUAGUACAUGUACUGGAUUUUUCGUCAGGCCUGUGCAUUAUGUUAAGUGUUGUUUGACUCUGUUCGGUGAUGGCAUUGCAAUAACAUUUGAUAUAGCUGCUGUAAAACUAAGGUUUUUUUCAUAAUUUCUAUGCAGUAUGUAAUGGUACGUUGUGGGGAAUGGGGAUGGUUCAUGUGUUUUUAGCCAAGCUAGUAACAUGAAAUGCAUUACAGUGUUAAACAUACUGGUUGUAGCUUAUCCUUUUGGGGAUACUGAUAAACAUGACUGUAAUUUCACUUAAUCUUUCAAGUGAACAUAGCAGCUGUAGCAAGAUUUACAUGUGGUUUUAGGAUUUUAUGUACAGUAUUUCUCCUUUUUUUGUAGCUGUAUCUGUGUUAUGAUUGAUAUAAGCGUGUCAAUUUAAUUAAAUGGUUGUAAUUUCUCUGUUCUCUGUUCUCUUAUUGAUCACAAGUGAAAUAAAACCUGUAUACGUGUGAUAUUCUAAUUCAGACACUUACUAUGUAUGCAUUGACUAAAUACUCUGUAAUAUCUCUUAUACCAUAUUGAUUGAAAAUGUGUGAUUGUUUUUUGGUGCUUGCCAAAUAUUGAGCAUAUGUCUAAUUCUAUUAGGCCAGUGUAGCCAUACACCACCUCAGGCUAUUUGACAAGUAGCUGCAUGACGAUCACAAUAUUUCAGGGAUUGUCAAUUUGUGGCCCGAAUUAGUCCCGUUAUUGAUUUUAUCCCCGCCCCCAAGUUUUUGGAAUAAAUUCUCAUAGCCUACAAUGAUCCGUUGGGCUUUUUGUGUAAAUUUGCAGAGUGCACAUUAUUUAUGUUCCGGUCCCCAUCAUCCGCUCAGGAAAAAAAAAUUGUCCAAAAAAUGAGCUGAAUCUAGUUAAUGUCCCAUUAACUAUUUCAACCAAUUAGCU
This is a long non-coding RNA of Oncorhynchus mykiss (rainbow trout), 1947 nucleotides long. NCBI's taxonomy places the organism in Eukaryota, Metazoa, Chordata, Actinopteri, Salmoniformes, Salmonidae. The record is from Ensembl.